This is an RNA transcript of Rhododendron vialii, 2808 nucleotides long. RefSeq lists it as uncharacterized. The record is from RefSeq and is a predicted model, not a curated record. The transcript has 4 exons. NCBI's taxonomy places the organism in Eukaryota, Viridiplantae, Streptophyta, Magnoliopsida, Ericales, Ericaceae.
UCAUGGUUUUUCUGACCCCAAAAAUCGUAUUGUUAAUUAUGUGGGAAGCAAAAUCACGAGGAAAGAAUAGUAUUUCUAGAGAACGUGUGUUCAAUCAGAGAGAGGGAGAGAGAGAUGAAAAGGGGGGGAAAAAGUGGGGAGGAGCCAGCAGAAAAGCAAGGGGAGAAUUUGGGGGAAAAGUUGAGGAGAGGGGUAUUAUUGGUGGGGAAAAAAGGAGGGGGGCAACACACUCCAGUAUUACCCCCGUGGAGGCUACUUCCAGCCGCUGGCAGCAACGGUCCUUGUUCUUCCAACACUGAUGCACAAGAUAGCACCUUUAUAAUCACUAACAAGUUGCCUCCAUCUCUGGUUUCUGCAAGAGAACUUGCUGCCACUCUCUGGGAACUCCAUCAGUACCGCCUUCCCUUCUCCAAAAUGCACCGUGGCGUCCCCGGUCCCCCGCCGCGUCUCCGCCGCCUCAAUCACCACCAUCACCACCACCACCACCACAACAAGGACAAGGGACUUGAGCAACCUGAUCCCUCCCCCAGCUCGCCUGACCUGCCAGGGAGUGCAAGCGGUCUGAGGAGGCAUGUUGCUGCAUCACUGAUGCAACAUUACCGAUUAGUCGAAAGGAACAAUCAUGCUAUAGAACCUGUGUCUCCAGCAAGUUAUGGUAGUUCCAUGGAGAUGGCACCUUAUAACCCUGCGGUCACGCCUAGCAGUUCUUUGGAUUUCAAAGGAAGGAUUGGCGAGACAGGUUAUAACCUCAAAACAUCGACAGAGCUACUCAAAGUAUUGAAUCGAAUCUGGAGCCUAGAAGAACAGCACACAUCCAAUAUGGCCCUGGUGAAAGCACUGAAAAAGGAGUUGGACCAUGCUCGUGCCAAGAUCAAAGAGUUGGUCAGAUAUCAACAAGCAGACAGGCAUGAGAUAGAAGAGUUGAGGAACCAAAUUUCGGAAGAUAAACUAGUUAGGAAAGGCAAAGAGCAAGAACGGAUCAGUACCGCCAUUCAGUCUGUAAAAGAUGAACUUGAAGAUGAGAGGAAGUUAAGGAAGCGCUCAGAGAGCCUACACAGGAAGUUAGCUAAAGAGCUUCAUGAUGUGAAAACAUCACUUGCUAGUGGUAUGAAAGAGCUGGAGAGAGAUAGAAAGUUGCGGAAACUUUUGGAGGACCUUUGCGACGAGUUUGCUUGUGGAAUUAAGAAUUAUGAAAGAGAGGUGCAUGUUCUGAAGCAGAAAUCUGACAAGGAUUGGGUGGACAGAGAUGAUCGCAAUCAGUUGAUUCUCCAGAUUUCUGAAUCCUGGCUUGAUGAACGUAUGCAGAUGAAACUUGGAGAAAGUCAAAAUGGCUUAGGAGAAAAGAAGUCAAUAGUGGAUAAAUUAAGCUCUGAAAUAGAGAAUUUUCUUGAAGCCAAACGAAAAACUGCCGAUUCCCGGGGAAAUGAUAAUUUUGUUUCAAGGGGUCCCAAGAAUCGCCGGAAUUCUCUGGAGUCCAUUCCUUUGAAUACGGCUAUUAGUGCUCCUCAGCAUGUGGAUGAUGAAGAGGAUUCUGCAGGCAGUGAUUCACAUUGUUUUGAGCUAAACAAACCUUCGGGAGGCUUAAAACGAAGCGACGAUGUUGCUGACAAAGAUCAGACUUACACAGGAGUGGAGCCGAAUCAUGCCAAUAAGAAUCUUAUAUCUCCAGGAAACUUAAAAGGAUGUUAUCCUACCAGUUUGCAGACGAAGUUUGAAGAACAGAUGGCACGGGCUAUCUCGAUUAAUGAAAGCAAAACCCAGGUUGUGGAUUCUGAGAAGUGGAAAACCAGGGAAGGAAACCCAGUUGAAGCGAGCAUUUCUAGGAAAUCUGAAAUUUGUGAGGCGACAGAAGAGGGUGAAUAUGGAACCAAACGUCCAACGUCAAAUCACGUUAUUGAUGAGUUAAUAAGAAGCCAGUAUUUGUUAUCAGAGGCUGCAAAUAUGCAUUCUGAUGGCAAUUAUGCAGCAGCUGCUUCUGGUAACUCUGGAUGGAGGCGACAUGCUAGUCCAGUGAGACAAUGGGCGGCUACACUACCAUCCCAAGAUCUUGAUGUAUCUGUGUCAUCUUCAAAGUUGCCUCCGGACUUGAAGGAAAACACAUUGAAGGCAAAGCUACUAGAAGCAAGGACAAGAGGCCAACGAUCACGCUCACGUUUAAAAACGUCCAAAGUCCCAUUUUAGUGUUCUGUGCCUCAGCUUCAUUGAGUUAGUGGCGUGGCACUGGGCAGGGAUCGGAUUCUAAAGUGGAAUUUUGAUUUGUGUGAAUAUGGCCAAGGCACAGUUGGCAUGCUGUAUUAUUAGCAUCUACCUGCUGAAUUUGAAGAUGGAGAUACAUAUUUGCAUGGAAGAAUGGUGUUUCCUGGACUUCACGGACUGAGAUUCUGUUUCUUGAAGCAGUUUCAACAUUCAAAAUCCGACGAGCCCUUAUGUCAAUCAGAUUGUAACUAUGCCCAACAGAAGCUCCUGAUGAACGAAUACGCUGAAAAUGCAAGACCAUAUGUCAAAACCUCCGUCGUCUAGACCUAAUUUCAAACGCUAAUGAAAAGAACACUGGGUACUUGCUACUUACAGUUAAGGCAUCAUCCAUGUUUGUUGCUUCAAGAAGGUCUCUAGAGAUGAAGUUCCUUCCAAUUCCACCAGCCACAAUCUCAUCUUCAGAUGGAGGUACUGAAUUCAGUGUAAAUGCCUAAAGAACACCGUCUUUUGCAUUGAGGGUCAUAGACUACAGCUCAUUUGAUCAAAUGUUUUGCUAAUUUGGUUGAGUUAAACAAUUGAAUUGCAUGAAUAUUGACAUAGGGUUACCAUUGA